RNAcentral lists this ribosomal RNA (477 nucleotides) under uncultured bacterium. RNAcentral describes it as "partial 16S ribosomal RNA". It matches the Rfam family "Bacterial small subunit ribosomal RNA", at positions 29 to 523 of the family's 1533-position model. The record is from RNAcentral.
AGUGAACGCUGGCGGCGUGCCUAACACAUGCAAGUCGAACGGAUCUUAAGAGCUUGCUCUUAAGGUUAGUGGCGCACGGGUGAGUAACACGUAGCUAACCUGCCCCAUAGUAAGGGACAACAGUUGGAAACGACUGCUAAUACCUUAUACUCCUUCUCUACCUAAGUAGAGUCGGGAAGUUUUUUUCGCUAUGGGAUGGGGCUGCGGCCUAUCAGCUUGUUGGGGAGGUAAUGGCUCACCAAGGCUAUGACGGGUAGCUGGUCUGAGAGGAUGAUCAGCCACAUUGGAACUGAGACACGGUCCAAACUCCUACGGGAGGCAGCAGUGGGGAAUUUUACACAAUGGGCGAAAGCCUGAUGUAGCAACGCCGCGUGGAGGAUGACGGAUUUAGGUCUGUAAACUCCUUUUAUAAGGGAAGAAAUUUGACGGUACCUUAAGAAGAAGCACCGGCUAACUCCGUGCCAGCCGCCGCCGUAA